ACCGGCGCACGGGUGAGUAACGCGUAUGCAACGUGCCCUUUACAGCGGGAUAGCCCGGAGAAAUCCGGAUUAAUACCGCAUAGUAUCCACAGAUCGCCUGUUUUGUGGAUUAAAGAUUUAUCGGUAAAGGAUGGGCAUGCGUGACAUUAGCUAGUUGGUGAGGUAACGGCUCACCAAGGCAGCGAUGUCUAGGGGUUCUGAGAGGAUGAUCCCCCACACUGGUACUGAGACACGGACCAGACUCCUACGGGAGGCAGCAGUGAGGAAUAUUGGUCAAUGGGCGCAAGCCUGAACCAGCCAUCCCGCGUGAAGGAAGACUGCCCUAUGGGUUGUAAACUUCUUUUGUGUACCAAGAAUGGUUCCUACGUGUAGGGAUUUGACGGUAGUACACGAAUAAGCAUCGGCUAACUCCGUGCCAGCAGCCGCGGUAAUACGGAGGAUGCAAGCGUUAUCCGGAUUCAUUGGGUUUAAAGGGUACGUAGGUGGCUUUGUAAGUCAGUGGUGAAAUCCUGCCGCUUAACGGUAGAACUGCCAUUGAUACUGCAAAGCUUGAGUACAGUUGAGGUAAGCGGAAUGUGUAGUGUAGCGGUGAAAUGCUUAGAUAUUACACAGAACUCCGAUUGCGAAGGCAGCUUACUAAACUGUAACUGACACUGAGGUACGAAAGCGUGGGGAGCGAACAGGAUUAGAUACCCUGGUAGUCCACGCUGUAAACGAUGCUCACUCGCUGUAUGCGAUACACAGUAUGCGGCCAAGCGAAAGUAUUAA
This 768-nucleotide ribosomal RNA is filed under the name uncultured bacterium. RNAcentral describes it as "bacterial SSU rRNA". It matches the Rfam family "Bacterial small subunit ribosomal RNA", at positions 94 to 863 of the family's 1533-position model. The record is from RNAcentral.